AUUGAACGCUGGCGGCAUGCUUUGCACAUGCAAGUCGAACGGCAGCGCGGGCUUCGGCCUGGCGGCGAGUGGCGAACGGGUGAGUAAUACAUCGGAACGUGCCCAGUAGUGGGGGAUAGCUCGGCGAAAGCCGGAUUAAUACCGCAUACGACCUGAGGGUGAAGCGGGGGAUCUUCGGACCUCGCGCUAUUGGAGCGGCCGAUGGCAGAUUAGCUAGUUGGUGGGGUAAAGGCCUACCAAGGCGACGAUCUGUAGCUGGUCUGAGAGGACGACCAGCCACACUGGGACUGAGACACGGCCCAGACUCCUACGGGAGGCAGCAGUGGGGAAUUUUGGACAAUGGGCGAAAGCCUGAUCCAGCAAUGCCGCGUGUGUGAUGAAGGCCUUCGGGUUGUAAAGCACUUUUGGCGGGAACGAAAAGGACUGUGCCAAUACCACGGUUCGAUGACGGUACCCGCAGAAUAAGCACCGGCUAACUACGUG
RNAcentral lists this ribosomal RNA (483 nucleotides) under uncultured bacterium. RNAcentral's name for it is "partial 16S ribosomal RNA". It matches the Rfam family "Bacterial small subunit ribosomal RNA", at positions 29 to 507 of the family's 1533-position model. The record is from RNAcentral.